This 57-nucleotide transfer RNA is filed under the name Candidatus Micrarchaeota archaeon CG_4_10_14_0_2_um_filter_55_9. Its description in RNAcentral is "tRNA-Thr". It matches the Rfam family "tRNA", at positions 8 to 61 of the family's 71-position model. Rfam says of the family: Transfer RNA (tRNA) molecules are approximately 80 nucleotides in length. Their secondary structure includes four short double-helical elements and three loops (D, anti-codon, and T loops). Further hydrogen bonds mediate the characteristic L-shaped molecular structure. tRNAs have two regions of fundamental functional importance: the anti-codon, which is responsible for specific mRNA codon recognition, and the 3' end, to which the tRNAs corresponding amino acid is attached (by aminoacyl-tRNA synthetases). tRNAs cope with the degeneracy of the genetic code in two manners: having more than one tRNA (with a specific anti-codon) for a particular amino acid; and 'wobble' base-pairing, i.e. permitting non-standard base-pairing at the 3rd anti-codon position. Lineage: Archaea; Nanobdellati; Microcaldota. The record is from RNAcentral.
UAGCUCAGCCUGGCAGAGCGUCUGUUUCGUAAACAGAAAGUCGGGGGUUCAAAUCCC